Transfer RNA from Theobroma cacao (cacao), 82 nucleotides. It matches the Rfam family "tRNA". From Rfam's summary of the family: Transfer RNA (tRNA) molecules are approximately 80 nucleotides in length. Lineage: Eukaryota; Viridiplantae; Streptophyta; Magnoliopsida; Malvales; Malvaceae. The record is from Rfam.
GUCGCUUUGGCCGAGUGGUUAAGGCGUGUGCCUGCUAAGUACAUGGGUUUAUCCCGCGAGAGUUCGAAUCUCUCAGGCGACG